RNAcentral lists this ribosomal RNA (179 nucleotides) under uncultured bacterium. RNAcentral describes it as "partial 16S ribosomal RNA". It matches the Rfam family "Bacterial small subunit ribosomal RNA", at positions 1321 to 1500 of the family's 1533-position model. The record is from RNAcentral.
UGAAGUCGGAAUUGCUAGUAAUGGCAGGUCAGCAUACUGCCGUGAGUACGUUCCCGGGCCUUGUACACACCGCCCGUCACACCAUGAGAGUUGGAGAUACCCGAAGCCUGUGAGCUAACUUUUAGAGGCAGCAGUCGAAGGUAGAAUCAAUGGCUGGGGUGAAGUCGUAACAAGGUAAC